AGUGAGUUUGAUCCUUGCUUGAGUUUUUACUGUUUGGUUAGUACACAUGUAAAGUAGUUUGUAAAAAGUGGGUGUUUAAUGCAAUAGUUUUUAUGUCCUCAGUGUAAGAAAUUAGUAAAUAAAUGGAAGUUUGAGUUAGUAAUCUAAUGGAGUUCGGGCUAAAUUUGUGCCAGCAGCCGCGGUUAGACUGACGGGGUAAGUAAUAAUAUUUAAGUUAGACGAUUAGAGUGAUUUUCAGCAAGAGAGGUGUUUAUAAAAGUAAAGGGUGGAAUCUAGUGUUUUGAAGUAUGAAGCUUUUUUGUUGAGUUGAGUUGAGGUCGUGAAGACUAAGGUUUAAAUCAGGAUUAGAUACCCUGUUAUACUUAGUUGAAAUUUUUUAGACUUGAGUAGUAAGCAGUUAUGUUCUUGAAACUUAAAGGAUUUGGCGGUAUCUUAGUCUAGUUAGAGGAACCUGUUUUAUAAACGAUAAACCACGAAAUAUCUUACUUCUUUUAGUAAAAUCAGCUUGUAUACCGUCAUUAUUAGAUAAUCUUUAUAAAGAGUUAUUAGGAUAAAUGUUUGUUAAUAUAUUAGAUCAAGGUGCAGCCAAUGGGGGAGAAAGUAAUGGGUUACAAUGUAAUUUGAGAUAAACGGAUGUAGGAGUAGAAUACUCUUUGGAAGGUGGAUUUAAUUGUAAUUAUGUUUUAAUAAGGGAUAAUGAUACUGGCUCUAUGAUAUGUACACAUCGCCCGUCGCUCUCACUUUUAAUGUGAGAUAAGUCGUAACAUAGUAGGUGUGUUGGAAAACGCACCUAGAAUUUU
This 800-nucleotide non-coding RNA is filed under the name Acanthephyra sp. Its description in RNAcentral is "12S ribosomal RNA". The stretch from base 385 to 793 matches the Rfam family "Microsporidia small subunit ribosomal RNA", at positions 752 to 1303 of the family's 1311-position model. The record is from RNAcentral. Lineage: Eukaryota; Metazoa; Arthropoda; Malacostraca; Decapoda; Oplophoridae.